Molecule: transfer RNA, 66 nt
Filed under: Mactra antiquata
Lineage: Eukaryota; Metazoa; Mollusca; Bivalvia; Venerida; Mactridae
Description: tRNA-Trp
Source: RNAcentral
GGAAGGUUAAGUUACGUAGACUACAGUACUUCAAAUACUGAAGAGAGGGGGCGUCCUCACUUUUCG